RNAcentral lists this ribosomal RNA (451 nucleotides) under Staphylococcus sp. HMSC078B01. Its description in RNAcentral is "bacterial LSU rRNA". It matches the Rfam family "Bacterial large subunit ribosomal RNA", at positions 2475 to 2925 of the family's 2925-position model. The record is from RNAcentral. Lineage: Bacteria; Bacillati; Bacillota; Bacilli; Caryophanales; Staphylococcaceae.
UAACAGGCUUAUCUCCCCCAAGAGUUCACAUCGACGGGGAGGUUUGGCACCUCGAUGUCGGCUCAUCGCAUCCUGGGGCUGUAGUCGGUCCCAAGGGUUGGGCUGUUCGCCCAUUAAAGCGGUACGCGAGCUGGGUUCAGAACGUCGUGAGACAGUUCGGUCCCUAUCCGUCGUGGGCGUAGGAAAUUUGAGAGGAGCUGUCCUUAGUACGAGAGGACCGGGAUGGACAUACCUCUGGUGUACCAGUUGUCGUGCCAACGGCAUAGCUGGGUAGCUAUGUAUGGACGGGAUAAGUGCUGAAAGCAUCUAAGCAUGAAGCCCCCCUCAAGAUGAGAUUUCCCAACUUCGGUUAUAAGAUCCCUCAAAGAUGAUGAGGUUAAUAGGUUCGAGGUGGAAGCGUGGUGACACGUGGAGCUGACGAAUACUAAUCGAUCGAAGACUUAAUCAAUUU